GAGGCAAUAACAGGUCUGUGAUGCCCUUAGAUGUUCUGGGCUGCACGCGCGCUACAAUAAUUCGUUUAACGAGUAAUUCCCUUUUUAAGAAAAUUUGGUAAACUCAUUAAAAUGUGUUUUAUUUGGGAUUGAUCAUUGUAAUUAUUGGUCGUAAACAAGGAAUUCCUAGUAAGCAUAAGUCAUAAAGUUGUGCUGAUUUUGUCCCUGCCCUUUGUACACAUCGCCCGUCGCAUCAAUCGAUUGAGUGAUUCGGUAAAUGGUUCCGACUUAGCUAAAUUGAGAAUCCAAUUUUGUUGAGGAAGUUCUAUAAGCCCUGUCAUUUAGAGAAUGGUCAAGUCGUAACACGGUAUCCGUAGGUGAACCUGCGGA
This 369-nucleotide ribosomal RNA is filed under the name uncultured fungus. RNAcentral's name for it is "bacterial SSU rRNA". It matches the Rfam family "Eukaryotic small subunit ribosomal RNA", at positions 1447 to 1821 of the family's 1831-position model. The record is from RNAcentral. Lineage: Eukaryota; Fungi.